Molecule: transfer RNA, 68 nt
Filed under: Podarcis siculus (Italian wall lizard)
Lineage: Eukaryota; Metazoa; Chordata; Lepidosauria; Squamata; Lacertidae
Description: tRNA-His
Rfam family: tRNA
About the family: Transfer RNA (tRNA) molecules are approximately 80 nucleotides in length. Their secondary structure includes four short double-helical elements and three loops (D, anti-codon, and T loops).
Source: RNAcentral
GGAAAUAUAGUUUACCUAAAACACUAGACUGUGACUCUAGAAACAGAAGCCCCAACUUCUUAUUUACC